RNAcentral lists this ribosomal RNA (253 nucleotides) under uncultured bacterium. RNAcentral's name for it is "partial 16S ribosomal RNA". It matches the Rfam family "Bacterial small subunit ribosomal RNA", at positions 524 to 776 of the family's 1533-position model. The record is from RNAcentral.
UACAGAGGUCUCAAGCGUUGUUCGGAUUCAUUGGGCGUAAAGGGUGCGUAGGUGGCGGGGUUAGUCAGGUGUGAAAUCUCGGGGCUCAACCCCGAAACUGCACUUGAUACUGCCUUGCUAGAGUACUGGAGAGGAGAUUGGAAUUUACGGUGUAGCAGUGAAAUGCGCAGAUAUCAGGAGGAACACCGGUGGCGAAGGCGGAUCUCUGGGCCUUACCUGACGCUCAGGUGCGAAAGCUAGGGGAGCGAACAGG